AUUGAACGCUGGCGGCAGGCCUAACACAUGCAAGUCGAGCGGAUGAAGGGAGCUUGCUCCUGGAUUCAGCGGCGGACGGGUGAGUAAUGCCUACGAAUCUGCCUGGUAGUGGGGGAUAACGUCCGGAAACGGGCGCUAAUACCGCAUACGUCCUGAGGGAGAAAGUGGGGGAUCUUCGGACCUCACGCUAUCUGAUGAGCCUAGGUCGGAUUAGCUAGUUGGUAGGGUAAAGGCCUACGAAGGCGACGAUCCGUAACUGGUCUGAGAGGAUGAUCAGUCACACUGGAACUGAGACACGGUCCAGACUCCUACGGGAGGCAGCAGUGGGGAAUAUUGGACAAUGGGCGAAAGCCUGAUCCAGCAAUGCCGCGUGUGUGAAGAAGGUCUUCGGAUUGUAAAGCACUUUAAGUUGGGAGGAAGGGCAGUAAGUUAAUACCUUGCUGUUUUGACGUUACCAACAGAAUAAGCACCGGCUAACUUCGUG
This 484-nucleotide ribosomal RNA is filed under the name uncultured bacterium. Its description in RNAcentral is "partial 16S ribosomal RNA". It matches the Rfam family "Bacterial small subunit ribosomal RNA", at positions 30 to 507 of the family's 1533-position model. The record is from RNAcentral.